GCGUGCUUAACACAUGCAAGUCGAACGGAAAGGCCCUGCUUUUGUGGGGUGCUCGAGUGGCGAACGGGUGAGUAACACGUGAGUAACCUGCCCUUGACUUUGGGAUAACUUCAGGAAACUGGGGCUAAUACCGGAUAGGAGCUCCUGCUGCAUGGUGGGGGUUGGAAAGUUUCGGCGGUUGGGGAUGGACUCGCGGCUUAUCAGCUUGUUGGUGGGGUAGUGGCUUACCAAGGCUUUGACGGGUAGCCGGCCUGAGAGGGUGACCGGCCACAUUGGGACUGAGAUACGGCCCAGACUCCUACGGGAGGCAGCAGUGGGGAAUAUUGCACAAUGGGCGGAAGCCUGAUGCAGCAACGCCGCGUGCGGGAUGACGGCCUUCGGGUUGUAAACCGCUUUCGCCUGUGACGAAGCGUGAGUGACGGUAAUGGGUAAAGAAGCACCGGCUAACUACGUGCCAGCAGCCGCGGUGAUACGUAGGGUGCGAGCGUUGUCCGGAUUUAUUGGGCGUAAAGGGCUCGUAGGUGGUUGAUCGCGUCGGAAGUGUAAUCUUGGGGCUUAACCCUGAGCGUGCUUUCGAUACGGGUUGACUUGAGGAAGGUAGGGGAGAAUGGAAUUCCUGGUGGAGCGGUGGAAUGCGCAGAUAUCAGGAGGAACACCAGUGGCGAAGGCGGUUCUCUGGGCCUUUCCUGACGCUGAGGAGCGAAAGCGUGGGGAGCGAACAGGCUUAGAUACCCUGGUAGUCCACGCUGUAAACGGUGGGUACUAGGUGUGGGGUCCAUUCCACGGGUUCCGUGCCGUAGCUAACGCUUUAAGUACCCCGCCUGGGGAGUACGGCCGCAAGGCUAAAACUCAAAGGAAUUGACGGGGCCCCGCACAAGCGGCGGAGCAUGCGGAUUAAUUCGAUGCAACGCGUAGAACCUUACCUGGGUUUGACAUGGAUCGGGAGUGCUCAGAGAUGGGUGUGCCUCUUUUGGGGUCGGUUCACAGGUGGUGCAUGGCUGUCGUCAGCUCGUGUCGUGAGAUGUUGGGUUAAGUCCCGCAACGAGCGCAACCCUUGUUCACUGUUGCCAGCACGUUAUGGUGGGGACUCAGUGGAGACCGCCGGGGUCAACUCGGAGGAAGGUGGGGAUGACGUCAAGUCAUCAUGCCCCUUAUGUCCAGGGCUUCACGCAUGCUACAAUGGCUGGUACAGAGAGUGGCGAGCCUGUGAGGGUGAGCGAAUCUCGGAAAGCCGGUCUCAGUUCGGAUUGGGGUCUGCAACUCGACCUCAUGAAGUCGGAGUCGCUAGUAAUCGCAGAUCAGCAACGCUGCGGUGAAUACGUUCCCGGGGCUUGUACACACCGCCCGUCAAGUCAUGAAAGUUGGUAACACCCGAAGCCGGUGGCCUAACCGUUGUGGGGGAGCCGUCGAAGGUGGGACUGGUGAUUAGGACU
Molecule: ribosomal RNA, 1433 nt
Filed under: uncultured organism
Description: partial small subunit ribosomal RNA
Rfam family: Bacterial small subunit ribosomal RNA
Source: RNAcentral